Molecule: transfer RNA, 84 nt
Filed under: Thermoguttaceae bacterium
Lineage: Bacteria; Pseudomonadati; Planctomycetota; Planctomycetia; Pirellulales; Thermoguttaceae
Description: tRNA-Leu
Rfam family: tRNA
About the family: Transfer RNA (tRNA) molecules are approximately 80 nucleotides in length. Their secondary structure includes four short double-helical elements and three loops (D, anti-codon, and T loops).
Source: RNAcentral
GGCCGAGUGGCGGAAUGGCAGACGCUGGGGAUUUAAAAUCCCCUGUCCGGUGAGGACGUGCGGGUUCGAUCCCCGCCUUGGCUA